Molecule: long non-coding RNA, 648 nt
Organism: Nilaparvata lugens (brown planthopper)
Lineage: Eukaryota; Metazoa; Arthropoda; Insecta; Hemiptera; Delphacidae
Exons: 3
Source: RefSeq, a predicted model, not a curated record
CGCCAGCUUACGGACCAGGUUGCCAAGAGUUUUCCACAACCUGUGGAAAAUUUCGGUGAGCUCUUGGUCAGUCGGUGGGCAGCUCUCAAGAUUGAAGGACGGGUUCCUUAGUGGAGAUGGAUGUCGCGAUUGUGUUGGUGUGGGAUUUGUGAACACUCCCUGGAAAACCGAUAAUAUCGAAACCGAAAACAGUCGUUCGAGGCGAGCGGACGUCCAUAUCACAGCAGAGCUCACAUAACGAAAAUUUCCAUCCUAACCUUCAAGUUCAAAACUCCCAUUAAAAUUAUUAUUUAUUAAUUCAGUGAUGGCGCAGUGCUAUUAUUGCAACAGUUCUCUGCCAGCAUCCGGUGACGUCGUUACUUGUUUUGGGUGUAAUAAUAAAUUUCAUUUUGGGUGCAGUCUCAAAGAAACUACAUAUCGUCGUAUGUCGGAGGACGAGCAAAAGAAGUGGCGUUGUUUCCAUGUGUGCAAAAACUCGAAAGGGGCAACAGGGAUCGCAACUCCAGUUAAAUUCAAUUAUGAUCUAGACUGAUUCAGCAGUGGAACAAAUAAGCUGUGAUAAGAUUUAUAUUGAAUAUACUAUGGAAUGGUAAACUUAUAAUAAUAUUGUAUUGACUCUAAAUUACUGUAUGACGAAACUCUAUGUUU